RNAcentral lists this unclassified non-coding RNA (358 nucleotides) under soil metagenome. RNAcentral's name for it is "partial contains 5.8S ribosomal RNA, internal transcribed spacer 2, and large subunit ribosomal RNA". The stretch from base 1 to 120 matches the Rfam family "5.8S ribosomal RNA", at positions 35 to 154 of the family's 154-position model. The record is from RNAcentral.
GAUGAAGAACGUAGCGAAAUGCGAUAAGUAAUGUGAAUUGCAGAAUCCAGUGAAUCAUCGAAUCUUUGAACGCACAUUGCGCCCGCCAGCAUUCUGGCGGGCAUGCCUGUUCGAGCGUCAUUUCAACCCUCGAACCCCUCCGGGGGGUCGGCGUUGGGGACCUCGGGAGCCCCUAAGACGGGAUCCCGGCCCCGAAAUACAGUGGCGGUCUCGCCGCAGCCUCUCCUGCGCAGUAGUUUGCACAACUCGCACCGGGAGCGCGGCGCGUCCACGUCCGUAAAACACCCAACUUCUGAAAUGUUGACCUCGGAUCAGGUAGGAAUACCCGCUGAACUUAAGCAUAUCAAUAAGCGGAGGA